This 683-nucleotide long non-coding RNA is filed under the name Fukomys damarensis (Damara mole-rat). RNAcentral's name for it is "lncRNA (ENSFDAG00000032437.1)". Lineage: Eukaryota; Metazoa; Chordata; Mammalia; Rodentia; Bathyergidae. The record is from RNAcentral.
CUGAGAUCCAAAUCUAGACCUGAACUCAAGCCCCUUGCUUGGCAAGGUGGAGGAUGGUUUUGGCCCGACUUCAUUAAAUAUGAGAAAUUCCAGCUCUAGAGACUGUGUAUUCAAUCUCCACCAUGUGUCUGUGGCUGAGACUGUGUUGGAAGAGAUGAACAGAAAAUGUCCAACUAUGAUGUCCAAGUAAAGGUCUUGAAAUAUCACUCAAGAAGGGCAGAGAGGUAGACCAUGCUUACCAAAGCCAGAGGGACCACAUGCUCUGAACACAGCAAACUCAUCAUGAGAUUGAAAGGACUGCCUAGAGGCAGCAUUUGAAUUGGGCUUUGAUGGAAGCCUGGGAUUUUAACUGAUUCUGGCACUGAUCGGAGAGGAAUUGCAGGAUAUGGGAAUGGCACAAGAAAAGUCCUGGAGAUGAGAGCAUGUUUGCCUUACUCACAGAAUGCCAAAUUGUUGGAUUGUUCUUCAAUUUAGGGUAUGUAUAUGUGUCCUUUUUAUGGGAGUAGCAUGUGGGAUUGCUGUGGUAGGUAAAAGACCCAUAUAGAUAGCAAUGUAUGGUAAUUGGUCUUGACUCGCCCAUUAGAUGAUAGAAAAGUCUUCAAAUACUUUUGCACAGGGAAGAGAAUGAUUCAGUUUUAUUUUCACUUAUUAGGUCACUCUAAUAUCACUGUGAACAAUAGGCC